RNAcentral lists this ribosomal RNA (492 nucleotides) under uncultured bacterium. RNAcentral's name for it is "partial 16S ribosomal RNA". It matches the Rfam family "Bacterial small subunit ribosomal RNA", at positions 29 to 507 of the family's 1533-position model. The record is from RNAcentral.
AGUGAACGCUGGCGGUAGGCCUAACACAUGCAAGUCGAACGGCAGCACAGUAAGAGCUUGCUCUUACGGGUGGCGAGUGGCGGACGGGUGAGGAAUACAUCGUAAUCUACUUUUUCGUGGGGGAUAACGUAGGGAAACUUACGCUAAUACCGCAUACGACCUACGGGUGAAAGCAGGGGAUCUUCGGACCUUGCGCGAUUGAAUGAGCCGAUGUCGGAUUAGCUAGUUGGCGGGGUAAAGGCCCACCAAGGCGACGAUCCGUAGCUGGUCUGAGAGGAUGAUAAGCCACACUGGAACUUAGACACGGUCCAGGCUCCUACGGGAGGCCGCAGUGGGGAAUAUUGGACAAUGGGCGCAAGCCUGAUCCAGCCAUACCGCGUGUGUGAAGAAGGCCUUCGGGUUGUAAAGCCCUUUUGUUGGGAAAGAAAAGCAGCAGGUUAAUACCCCGCUGUUCUGACGGUACCCAAAGAAUAAGCACCGGCUAACUUCGUG